RNAcentral lists this long non-coding RNA (1534 nucleotides) under Homo sapiens (human). RNAcentral's name for it is "HSALNT0077836". The record is from RNAcentral. Lineage: Eukaryota; Metazoa; Chordata; Mammalia; Primates; Hominidae.
UGUGGCAACUUGGAGGAGGGGAAGCGAAGAUGCAGUCAGACAAUAACUACAUCAGCCCAUACUGUCUUCUCACCAUUUGAGGAUGAUGCCAUAAGAGCCAGAUGGAACAUGCACAUGCAAAAAAUGGUUUGUGCACCACCAGACAGAAACCACAAGGUGAAAUUAUGAAUCUUGGAGUUUCUGUACUGCAUAUAGCCCCCUCUCCUAAAAGACCAGAAUGAGAAUGAAGAUAUCAUGAUCCUCAGGAGACCAAGCUCCCACAUUUUUGUUGCACCAACAUUAACAACAAUUGUUGCUCAUGAAGCAGGUUGCUUGCUUAGGCUCCUGAUUCCAACAUUUAUAUGCCUUCUAGGCAACAGGAAGAAGAAAAGAGAAAAAGAGAAUGAGAAGAGUAAGUUUUUUUCUAUUCAAGUACAAUUCCAGUUAGUUUCUUGCACCACUUUAUGUUAUACACACCAUACCCCAAAAUCAACUCAAGAUGAAUUAAAGAAUGAAAUUUAAAACCCCAAACUGUAAAAACCCUGGAAGACAAUCUAAGAAAUCCCAUCUGGGUCUUAGGAAUGGGAAAAGAUUUCAUAACAAAGACACCAAAAGCAAUUGCAACCAAAACAAAAAUUGACGAAUGGGAUCUAAUUAAAUUUAAGGUCUUCUGUACAGCUAAAGAAACUAUCAACAGAGUAAACAAACAUCCUACAAGAUUGGAGAAGAUAUUUGCAAACUAUACAUCUGACAAAGGUCUAAUAUCCAGCAUCUAUAAGGAACUUACAAAUUUACAAGAGAAAAACAAACAGCCCUGUUAAAAAGUGAGCAAAACACAUGACAUACAUUCUCAAAAGACUACAUACAUGCAUCCAACAAGCAUAUGAAAAACCACUCAGUAUCAUUGAAUAUUAGAGAAAUGCAAAUCAAAAUAACAAUGAGAUAUCAUCUCACACCAGUCAGAAUGGUAAUUAUUAAAAAACUAAAUAACAACCGACCCUGGUGAGGUUAUGUCAAAAAAGGAGCACUUAUAUACACUCUUGGUGGAAGUGUAAAAUAGUUCAACCAUUGUGGAAAGCAGUAGUCAAUUCCUCAAAGAGCUAAAAGCAGAAAUACCAUUUGACCCAGCAAUCCCAUUACUAAGCAUAUACCCAGAGGAAUAUAAAGCACCAGGGAUCCCAUUACUGAGCAUAUACCCAGAGGAAUAUAAAGCUUUCUACCAUAAAGACACAUGCACAUGAAUGUUUAUUGCAGCUCUAUUCACAAUAGCAGAAACAUGGAAUCAACCUAAGUGCCCAUCAAUGACAGAUUAGAUAAAGAAAAUGUGAUACAUAUACACCACGGAAUACCAUGCAGCCAGAAAAAAAUGAUGAAGUCAUUUCUGUUGUGGAAACAUGAAUGGAGCUGGAGGCGCUUAUCCUUAGCAAACUGACACAGGAACAGAAAUCCAAAUACUGCAUGUUCUCACUUAUAAGUGGGACCCAAAUGAUAAGAACUUAUGAACACAAAGAAGGAAACAACAGACACUGGAGUCCACUUGAUGGGGGAGGGUGGG